Equus quagga is the source of this 2118-nucleotide RNA transcript. It is a transcript of the gene named sperm acrosome associated 6, with no coding region annotated. The record is from RefSeq and is a predicted model, not a curated record. NCBI's taxonomy places the organism in Eukaryota, Metazoa, Chordata, Mammalia, Perissodactyla, Equidae. The transcript is spliced from 3 exons.
CCCUAAGGACAGAGAACAUAAAAAAGUGAAAGAGAAGCAGAAGUGAAUCGUGUCUGGGGAUGAUGGAGAAGGGGCGGGUGCCUAAGCUCCAUCGAAUGGCUGCCUCGUUGAAAUACAGUGUUAUAGCGCUUCCAAAUUUUUUUAGAGAGAUGCCAAACAUUUUAUGUGACUUUUCCAAAUUUCACAUGAUGGCAACUCAUUCAUUUUGUUUUUUUAAAUACUUUCCAGGCCAAAUGUAACACAUCCAAGAGAUGGAUUGGGGCCACCGGCCACCAGUUGUGGUCUCCAUGGAAUUCAUUCUACUCAUCCUCAUUGAGCAUUUGCUAAGACUCAGGGCCCUCUCCUUGGUUCUGAGGACACAGCACUAAAGAAGGACAUGUCCACUUACUUAAGAGACAGACUUAAAUGAUCACCAUUAUAUAAAUAGAUGCAAUUACAAACUGGUGAGAGCUCUGAAUGGAAUGAAUGGGGCAUUGAACUAUGGGAGACAAAAGUAGGGAACUGGAUUCGACUAGAUUUGUGGUUAAGGAAAACCUCUAAUGUGGUGACCCAAGGGUCAACAUGAAGGAUGAGAGGAGUAGGGGGAAAGAGAAGCCAGCACGUGCAAAGGCCCUAAGGUGCUGGAGAAUGUGGUUCUUUUGCUAUUAGAAGAAAUGAAAGGUGAGUCAUAGGGAGAGGAAACUAGGCCAGACCAUAUAGGGCCCAGUACGCCUUGAUGAGGAAUGUUUCCUCUCAACAAGAUAAAUGUAGAUGAUGGGUUCCAUCAGAGAGAUGGUUAGGAAGCAGAUGGAAGGAGACUGGGGACUCGUUAGCCCUCCCGGUAGACAGGGUGGGAGGAGGUGAGAAUCAGGGAGGAUGUGGUAUAUACCAGAGACAGGGAUGGGGAGGGGCUGGGCAAGAAGCCGAGACACCAUCACAGUACUGGCCUGCUCGGCCAGCCAUAGGGGAAGGGCCUUUACUCCAAGGCCCCCCUCCACCCUCCAGGGUCCUUUGAGGUUGCCUUCCCUGAUGCUGCGCAGAAAAUACAGGAGGUCAUUACACAGCUUAAAGAAGGUAAAACAGAUUCCGUCUCCUUCCCCCAGGCACGCACAGAGACUCCAGCGGCUCUCUCUAGUCCAAUAUCCUGGCCGUCUCUCUUCCGUCUCUUCCAUCUCUUCUAUCCUGGCCCAACCUGCUUCCCUUGGUGGGCCACUCUGGACACGGCCUCUUUCCCAGCAUCGACCACUCUGGGUCUGGUCCUGCCCCUUCGGCCAAAGGUUUUCUCUACUAGGACCCCUUCUUGGGAUGGUCCUGUCCCAGAUGAGCCCGGACCUCUUCCUGGAUCUCUGGGUCUGGCCCUGCCCACACUGUGAAGGAUUUCCUAUCCAACUGGGCCUCCUUAGUGGGCUACUUCCAGCCUGGCCACACCUCUUUUCUAACUGGGUCCCCUAAUUCGACCCUGUUCUCUCCGAGCAUCGCCCAGGAUGUAGCCCCCUUCCCUCAAGUGGAAUACACCAGAGCUGGCCCAGCCUCCUUGGCGCAUGCAGCAGGCCUGUACCUGACCUCUCAGUGGGAUGCUGCAGGCCUGGUCCGGUCCUCAGGUGGAACACCGCAGCCCUGACCCCGCCCCCUGGGUGGACCGCUGCAGGCCUUGCUCUGCCCCCUCGGAGGAAUGCAUCCGGCCCAGUAACACCCUGUAGGGAAGCUUCAGCACCUCCCGCGACUUGCAGGGUAGUAAUGCUUCCUCUCUCUCCACAGCCCCGGCCUGCAUCCCUCCCUGCGGUAAGCAAUUCAUUCAAAGCUCAGAAUUGGGGGAGGAAGGAGGUGGUCGGCAAUGAAACGUAGAACUUCGAGUGGGAGAGCAUGGGUGGGCCUCCGAUCCGUAGGAGGCCACUAAAAGCCCUGGAGGAACGUCAGUCAACCAGGACUCCAGGAGGUCGCUCGGCGCUUCCGCUGCCGCGGCUGCUACUCCACAGUCUGCGACCUCCCGCUGGACUGCCCAGUUCAGGAUGUGACGGUGACCCGGGGUCAGCAGGCCAUGUUCUCUUGCACCGUGAACUUCCAGCUGCCUAAAGAGGAGAUCACCUAUUCCUGGAGGUUCGCAGGAGGAGGUGUGAGUCGGGGCGGGGCCGGCGCAGA